ACGGAGGAUGCAAGCGUUAUCCGGAUUCAUUGGGUUUAAAGGGUCCGCAGGCGGGAUAAUAAGUCAGAGGUGAAAUCCUACGGCUCAACUGUAGAACUGCCUUUGAUACUGUUAUCCUAGAGUGUAGUUGAUGUGGGCGGAAUAUGUCAUGUAGCGGUGAAAUGCUUAGAUAUGACAUAGAACACCGAUCGCGAAGGCAGCUCACAAAGCUACAACUGACGCUCAGGGACGAAAGCGUGGGGAUCAAACAG
Molecule: ribosomal RNA, 251 nt
Filed under: uncultured prokaryote
Description: partial 16S rRNA
Rfam family: Bacterial small subunit ribosomal RNA
Source: RNAcentral